GGCGGACGUAGCCAAGUGGUUCAAAGGCAGU
This 31-nucleotide transfer RNA is filed under the name Taiwania cryptomerioides. RNAcentral describes it as "partial tRNA-His". RNAcentral also lists the same sequence under 1 other name. The record is from RNAcentral. Lineage: Eukaryota; Viridiplantae; Streptophyta; Pinopsida; Cupressales; Cupressaceae.